RNAcentral lists this transfer RNA (71 nucleotides) under Strigamia maritima. It matches the Rfam family "tRNA". From Rfam's summary of the family: Transfer RNA (tRNA) molecules are approximately 80 nucleotides in length. Their secondary structure includes four short double-helical elements and three loops (D, anti-codon, and T loops). Lineage: Eukaryota; Metazoa; Arthropoda; Chilopoda; Geophilomorpha; Linotaeniidae. The record is from Rfam by way of RNAcentral.
UCCCAGGUAGCUUAAUGAUAAAGCACUCAACCUGCAAUUAGGGGAUCUGGGUUCAAGUCCCGGUCCGGGCU